Molecule: ribosomal RNA, 253 nt
Filed under: uncultured bacterium
Lineage: Bacteria
Description: partial 16S ribosomal RNA
Rfam family: Bacterial small subunit ribosomal RNA
Source: RNAcentral
UACGAAGGGGGCUAGCGUUGUUCGGAAUUACUGGGCGUAAAGCGCGCGCAGGCGGUCCUUUAAGUCAGGGGUGAAAGCCCAGAGCUCAACUCUGGAACUGCCUUUGAAACUAGAGGACUUGGGUACGGGAGAGGAGAGUGGAAUUCCCGGUGUAGCGGUGAAAUGCGCAGAUAUCGGGAAGAACACCCGUGGCGAAGGCGGCUCUCUGGGACGGUACUGACGCUGAGGAGCGAAAGCCAGGGGAGCAAACGGG